CCACGAUAUGGGCAUUGACAGGUGGCA
Molecule: small RNA, 27 nt
Filed under: Bombyx mori (domestic silkworm)
Lineage: Eukaryota; Metazoa; Arthropoda; Insecta; Lepidoptera; Bombycidae
Description: ovarian small RNA-13513
Source: RNAcentral